This 72-nucleotide transfer RNA is filed under the name Phelsuma laticauda (broad-tailed day gecko). RNAcentral describes it as "tRNA-Thr". It matches the Rfam family "tRNA". From Rfam's summary of the family: Transfer RNA (tRNA) molecules are approximately 80 nucleotides in length. Their secondary structure includes four short double-helical elements and three loops (D, anti-codon, and T loops). Further hydrogen bonds mediate the characteristic L-shaped molecular structure. tRNAs have two regions of fundamental functional importance: the anti-codon, which is responsible for specific mRNA codon recognition, and the 3' end, to which the tRNAs corresponding amino acid is attached (by aminoacyl-tRNA synthetases). tRNAs cope with the degeneracy of the genetic code in two manners: having more than one tRNA (with a specific anti-codon) for a particular amino acid; and 'wobble' base-pairing, i.e. permitting non-standard base-pairing at the 3rd anti-codon position. Lineage: Eukaryota; Metazoa; Chordata; Lepidosauria; Squamata; Gekkonidae. The record is from RNAcentral.
GUCCCAGUAGCUUAGUGUUAAAAGCAUUGGUUUUGUAAACCAAAGACCGGGCAUAACAUUGCCCCGGGGACA